ACAACACGACCAGCUACGAUCGACAUUCAUUCUCAAAUUGGACUGUGAACAGCUUGUUUUCUCUCAAUCAUUCAUAUAUCUGACAAAAGCCUUUACACACGGUGAGAUCCCAUGAAGCAGCAAUCCUGAUGUUUCCCAGUAGGUCCUGCUCUCUCCUGGGAAUGAAGCCAUUUCUGAGUCCCUGAGUUCCUAUGACAGGUGCCGAAUGAAAGAGAAUGGAUGAUUUUGUGCUUCUACUCUUCAAAUGUUGAGUCUUUCUUUUCCUCGCAAAAAGUGAAACCAAUUAAAAACAGCUCAUUCUGCCGUUGCCCACAACAGAGUCCAUGAUGUUCAAACUUCAGCCAGUCAGGAAUUAAAUGAUGUGCAUGUUUGUUUUGUUGGCACAAUUAAAAAUGAGCAUGUCGCAGUGUGACUGUGCAAGAUACAAAACAUCAUGAAGUUGUUUGCACUGUGAUGUGAAGUAACAAAAAAAAUUCCUGUCGCCUACAAGAGAUGCAACAGAAUUCUUGAUGUCUUCUGAGCUAUGCAAACAUCCUCCUGUGGAUGCCAGCUAAUGAUGGAGAAUGCCAGUAAAUAUCAGAUAUGGUCCAAGUUCCCCCUGAGACGACAGCUUAAUUUUUCAGCGUGGCCUGAUUACCAUCUCCUCCACUCACGGUCAGGACGCCCUCCAACUAUCGAGGAAGAGAGUCGAAUGACUGAAAAGCAAUGUCAAACGUCCUCCGUUUUCCACUUUGGACCAAUUUCAUGCUCCUCUGAUCAGACAAAACACUAGCAGACCUGCCACUUUACCAGCCGCUGAGAACCCCGACCAGGCAUGCGUGAUUAGUGGGGCUGCACUUCCAAGAGUGGAUGUUUUACCUCCUUCUGAACUGUGCUGUGCACCAUAUGUUUGAGAACAACUGGAGCAGUGACACUGGAAAGAAGAGUCCAGGUCGUGAGGACAGAGAAGAUUCCAGAACACACAGCCAUUAAUGAUAUAAAGGUGGAUGGUUUGCAUUAGCGACUUUAUUUCUGGGAAUCUGACUUUCUUCAACCGGUCCUACUCGUCCUGCUCCGAGCGGGACUCGAAUUGGGGUCUCCGGCGAGGUAACAAGGACUAAAGACAGUCGCUAACGGUUUCUUGAGGUCAUGGGAGUGAGGUUUACACGCACAGCUACGUCCGUUACACUCACCUCACUCCCAUCCGGGUCAUGGCACCAAAUUUAAGAGGGCAGAACCUUUGAAGAAGGAGAGAGGAGCUGGUGUGGGUAACUGCCCUUCAGCAACAGGAAUGCUGGGACUUCCUUGUGGUGCAGUUGUCUUUUAUCUCUCAGAGCCAGAACUGGUGGGUGAUGAUGCUCGAAUAAAACAACAUCAGCCAUGAUGAUCUUUAGAAGAACGUCUAGUAUUUGGUUUCCUAAUUGACACCAUAAUGCUCAGUCCAAUUUGUUUUGGAUAAUGCCGGACCAUGUGUGUGAGAAGACCGUGUGGAAUUGUGCGGCCCCCUGAUGUCUGGAGCCAUCUGGCUGUGGCCGGUUCAUCUCUCUCCGAGUGUACACAGUAAUUACAGGGAACCGGCCCACCCGAGCUUGACGAACUAACAGCGUUCGCUCUCUACGACUCUUCCAGCACAAUCCUCAUCGCUUCAUCUUUUACUUUUUUCUUUUCCCACUUGCAGUUUCUCUCUAGCUCCAUGUGAUAAAUAUUUAUGGGAUGAAAUGCAUGCGGGAAUCGUUUACAGCCCACUGACAUUGAGUGGAGAAAUUUGCAAAAGAUACAUGACCGAACCAUCACCACAGAGAAUCCCACCUGCCUCUGAGAGAAAAAACCCUCCCUCUUAAAGAUAAACGUUCCAAUUAGAGUCCAAAAUACCUUAAAAGCCAUUACAACAUCUUUUUUUUCUCUUUAGAAAAGCGUCAAUGUGUUGGCGGUUUAACCCUUUCAUGCAUGAAUUAUGAUAACCUCUGUCAGGAUUUGUGACUGUGUGUUUUUAUUGCUCUUAUGGCAUG
Pimephales promelas (fathead minnow) is the source of this 1988-nucleotide non-coding RNA. NCBI's taxonomy places the organism in Eukaryota, Metazoa, Chordata, Actinopteri, Cypriniformes, Leuciscidae. The record is from RefSeq and is a predicted model, not a curated record.